CUGAGCCAAAAAAAUUUAGCAACACUUUUUUUUUUGAAUUUUUUAUUGGUUGUUUCUGAAUUUUUUUUUAUCAAACAUCAAUGAUAUAAUCCUUAGUUUAACCUGGAUUUUUAAGCAGUCGUACUUUUUUCCAGGUGAUCGAUUUCGCGCCAUUUCAGCUUUGCGCGUGUAAUUGAUGUUUUACCUUCUGUACCUGUACUUUUAAAACGAAAUUUUUUUUUUUUUUGCACUAGCGUUCAGAAACCCACCAUUGGUAAGAAAAACACAUAAACGUUUGAAAAAAUUGCAUGGGUCGUCAAUCAGGCCUCUCCGAAAAUGACUCUCAGAUGGCUCUUGGAAUGGUUGAUGCCGGCAUGAGUGUUGCUGACGUCUUGGCUCGAUUUAAUGUGCAUAAGUCAACAGUUUAGGGACUACAAGACAGAUAUCAACAAAUUGCAACAGCACAGGAUAGGUCGAUAUGUCGUAGAACAAAAACAACCAUCGUCAAGAGAGGAGCGCUACCUUCGCUUUACGUCAACACGGGACAAGUUUUUUGUGGAUACAAGAGUAGUGCAUUGACUAAGGGCAGCUGCUGGUGUGCCUGCCAGUCCUUAAUUGAUGCCCUUAAAGCAUGGCCGAAAAAUUGAUUUUGAAUAACACUAUACUCAUUUCAGCUUUUUGACCCUCCCGCGCUCCAUACAAAAAAAUAUCCUAAUGAAUAUGAGUGUUAAACAUUCAUGUUGCUUCUGACAUGUCAUAAUUCCAUUUUUUUAUUAUUAAAAUUAUAUGUUGUUAUGAUUUUUUAAUAAAAUAAAAUUUUAUAUUUAUGUUGCUAAACUUUUUUGGCUCAGUAUAUAUA
This 838-nucleotide long non-coding RNA is filed under the name Mytilus galloprovincialis (Mediterranean mussel). The record is from RNAcentral. Lineage: Eukaryota; Metazoa; Mollusca; Bivalvia; Mytilida; Mytilidae.